Molecule: long non-coding RNA, 804 nt
Filed under: Helianthus annuus (common sunflower)
Lineage: Eukaryota; Viridiplantae; Streptophyta; Magnoliopsida; Asterales; Asteraceae
Source: RNAcentral
UCAAAAGGUUGCAGCUUUACCUACUUCGUCAACCACAACCUAAGCGACGGUUUCCGUCUGACGAUUAGGGCUCCAACAGGUUACAUACGACUGCCAUCUGCCCGUCGUCUUCCCACCUCUGCAAAACUUGUCAUCCACCCUUGUUCGUCAAGCUUUCGAGCAGCUCAGCACUUCAUCCUUCCACUUUCUACCUUCUCAUCCACUCUGCCAUACCACCUUAUGCUUCGAAUUGCUACCACCGCUACAGUCGGCAUCACCUAAUGCAUCCGUCCCUCACCAGCACUCUUCUACGAGAUAACGCCAGCGACACAAUCACCACCAAAUUCAAGGCUUUCGUCAGGCAAUUAGGGCUCCACCAGAAGGACAUCAAGCAACAGCGCUCAACACUACUCCGCUCUCAAACUUGCGGCCCUCGACACAACCACAACCAAGUCGAAGGCUUUCUUUAGGCGAUUACGGCUCCAGCAGCUUUUUUUAAUGCAAAGCGGACCUUCUUUUGGGUUGCGGCUGUUUCACUUCUCUAAACAGACCCCUUUUCGGACUACUGUCAUCGACUUAUUUUGUCAAGCAAACUACCCUUAGAGUGUAUUACCCAACCCACCGCAAUUACAUAAUCUAAUUUGAACUAAAAUAUAAUAACCCAACCCAGCGCAAUUUCGGCCGCCAAACUCACGAAAACAACAUCUCAUCACUAUUUUCAGGUAUGAUUCGAUUAUUUUUUGUUCUUACCAACUCAUUGUGUUGGCAGCUUUACUUCAGUCUGGCAAGGAAUCCGGAUCGUCAAGAGGACAAGCCGGUGUAAAU